GGAGGCCUUGUCGGAGGGACCUGCUAACUGCUAGCCUGCUACUUCGGGUGUUGAACCUGGUCUGGUGAAUGACAUGGUGAUUCUUUCAGCCAGACUUUGGCAAAGAAGACCAGUAGAAGGCAUAAGGAGCAACUUGUAUAAUGGAGUUAGUUCUUUCCAUGCUCAGGGUGGACGAGGUGUACAGUGACCUUUCUAGUGAUGUGGCUCCUGUCAUAACAACUAUGGCCAUAGCCGAUAAUGUGCCUCUGGUAGAAUCUUAAGUUCGGUAAAGUACAAGAAGGAAAUGCGUUGUCCUAUCACUUGCGAACAAAGACAGUGCCGAAAACCCGUCCACAUUCGGAUGCCCCUUCUCCUCCACAGCUGCCACUUUCUGGUUACAGUCGGGGACCAUCUACCUGUUCCUUCAUCUGCUCUGAGCAUCAGCAGCUCCACAUGAUGUCCCUGGCAACAUCACUUGAGACAGCUCACAAAAUUGAGAACGGCACAAAACAGCAGAAUUCCUGUGUAGAGUGGCACCAACUAAGGCGGUCCCACAUCACCUCCACCAAAUUCAGAGAGAUCUGUCACACCAGGCGACAGACCUCUGCUGAAAAUCUGGUGAAAAGGCUUCUGAGACCCAGCCAUCAGACUUGCAGACAUGAAGAGGGGGCUGGACAUGGAACCUGCAUUAGCAUAUCCUUGUGGGUUUCUUAUCCAUCCUGACACACCUUGGAUGGGGUCAUCACCUGAUGGCAUAGUGUAUGAUCCAAACGGGCAGCCAGAGUUUGGCCUUGUUGAAAUUAAAUGCCCAAAUGUUUCGAGUUAUAUGGACUGCCCAUACAUUAAGAUCAGUGAGGGCACACAUACACUAAGGAAAUCCCAUUCGUACUUUUGGCAGAUCCGGGGUCAGCUGUUAAUUUCUGAACUAUAAAGGUGUGACUUUGUUGUCUACACACAGAAAGACAUGUUCAUUCAGAGUAUUCCCAGAGACAAAGAAAUCACAGUCACAAUCAAAGAAAAUGUUGACUUGUUUUUUUUUUUUUACCUCUAUGCUUCCCUGCAAUAGAGAACUGCUCUGCACACUGCCUUACUCAGCUCAGUUUGUUACAGGGACUAUCAGAGGUAGUGUAUAUAGUGUAAUACUGUUUGUUUAAAUGUUUAUGUGUAAUUUUCUGUAGUGCACUAAUAUUUAUUGUUAAAGUGUACUGAAGUGGCAGAUCACAUAACAUGGUUAAAUGAAGUUUGAGUUGAAACAAAAAAAAGGUGAUAAGUGCAGUUGCAAGAACAAUACUUUCCUCAUAUUUUCAUAUGUUUGAUUAGAAAGAGAACUUAUUUUAAUUGUAAUUACAACUAUUCUAAUUAUCUGUUAGCUCCCUCUGCGGCUUCAUCUGUUUCGCUCUGCGGAUGUCUCAUUUUUUUCUCUGUAUUGAGUGUUUUGAUAGUGAUGAUCAUUUGGAGUGUUUUAACUCAGUGUA
Molecule: long non-coding RNA, 1454 nt
Organism: Lampris incognitus (smalleye Pacific opah)
Lineage: Eukaryota; Metazoa; Chordata; Actinopteri; Lampriformes; Lampridae
Exons: 3
Source: RefSeq, a predicted model, not a curated record